Molecule: ribosomal RNA, 497 nt
Filed under: uncultured bacterium
Lineage: Bacteria
Description: partial 16S ribosomal RNA
Rfam family: Bacterial small subunit ribosomal RNA
Source: RNAcentral
GAUGAACGCUGGCGGCGUGCCUAAUACAUGCAAGUCGAGCGCACGGACGAUAAGGUAGCUUCUCAGACGUUAGCGGCGGAGGUGCGAGUAAAACGUGGAUAACCAACUUAUAAGACUGGGAGAAGUUCGGGACAACGGAACAAAUACCGGAUAAUAUUUUAAACCGCAUUGUUCAAAAGUGAAAGACGGUCUUGCUGUCUCUUAUAGAUGGAACCUCGCUGUAUUAUCUAGUUGGUAAGGUAACGGCUUACCAAGGCAACGAAGCAUAGCCGACCUGAGAGGGUGAUCGGCACCACUGGAACUGAGACACGGUCCAGACUCCUACGGGAGGCAGCGGUAGGAAACUUUGCGCAUGGGGCGAAAGCCUGACGGAGCAACGCCGCUUGAGUGAUGAAGGUCUUCGAAUCUUAAAACUCUGUUAUUAGGGAAGAACAUAUGUGUAAGUGAAUGUGCACAUCUUGACGGUACCUUACCAGAAAGACACGGCUAACUACGUG